CUUCCCUUAGGCUCUUACUUUAAAAUUUUUAUACACACAAAAGGCUUCUAGUAGUCCCCUAGAGGGUGUCUUUACAGCUAAAAUAUUUCCUAGGGGUUCUGGCCUAAGGUCUAAUUUAUGAGCAUAUUUAUAAGAUAUGAAGAAAUGAGAGACACCUAUAUCAAUCAAAGCACGUGCGGUGGUAUUAUGAACAGAAAUCAUACCUUGAAUGAUAGCGGGGGUGAUAGGAACAUCUAGCCCAUCCAGUUGGUAAACACGUCCCUGGCCAACAGGACUGGCAAGGUCCUUGGGUCUUUGUGGGCAAUCCUUCACAACAUGUUGUGUACUCUCGCACUUGUAGCAGGAGUGGUUUAGAGAUCAAUAAAGAUAGUCACCAUGGUAACGACCACAAUGCUGGUAAGGGGAACAAGUUCUAAAAGGGCCUCUAGUAGGAGGGGGCAAAGCAGUAGGGGCUAGAAUAACACGGGGUCUCUUGUUUAAAUAGUUAGAGUCAGAGUCAGGGAAUAUCCUCUUCUACUACUAUUCUUGCUGACUGCGAAAAUGGAUGAUGCACUGGUUGCAGGGCAAGAUAAUGUCUUUGGCCAACUAGACAUUUUCCAACACCUCAACAUAGGAACUAGACUUGGACAUGAUAACUCGAUGAAAAAUAUCUGG
Molecule: long non-coding RNA, 654 nt
Filed under: Carica papaya (papaya)
Lineage: Eukaryota; Viridiplantae; Streptophyta; Magnoliopsida; Brassicales; Caricaceae
Description: long non-coding RNA (CPAP_LNC010063)
Source: RNAcentral